RNAcentral lists this ribosomal RNA (464 nucleotides) under uncultured bacterium. RNAcentral describes it as "bacterial SSU rRNA". It matches the Rfam family "Bacterial small subunit ribosomal RNA", at positions 189 to 644 of the family's 1533-position model. The record is from RNAcentral.
GGAGGAAGUAGGGGAUCGCAAGACCUUGCGCUUUUGGAGCGGCCGAUGUCUGAUUAGCUUGUUGGUAAGGUAAAAGCUUACCAAGGCUUCGAUCAGUAGCUGGUCUGAGAGGACGACCAGCCACACUGGGACUGAGACACGGCCCAGACUCCUACGGGAGGCAGCAGUGGGGAAUUUUGGACAAUGGGGGCAACCCUGAUCCAGCCAUGCCGCGUGAGUGAAGAAGGCCUUCGGGUUGUAAAGCUCUUUCAGCCGGAACGAAACGGUUACGGUUAAUACCCGUGACUACUGACGGUACCGGAAGAAGAAGCACCGGCUAACUACGUGCCAGCAGCCGCGGUAAUACGUAGGGUGCGAGCGUUAAUCGGAAUUACUGGGCGUAAAGCGUGCGCAGGUGGUUUUGUAAGUCAGAUGUGAAAUCCCCGGGCUCAACCUGGGAACUGCGUUUGAAACUACAAAGCUAG